AACGAACGCUGGCGGCAUGCCUAACACAUGCAAGUCGAACGAAAACUUCGGGUCUAUUGGCGCACGGGUGCGUAACACGUGGUAACUUGCCCUUAGGUUCGGAGUAACUCCCCUAAAGAUGUGUUAAUACCGCAUGAUGUCAUCGGAGCAAAGAGUUAUCGCCUUUUGAUGGGCCCGCGUUAGAUUAGCUAGUUGGUAGGGUACAAGCCUACCAACGCGACGAUCCAUAGCUGGUCUGAGAGGAUGAUCAGUCACACUGGGACUGAGACACGGCCCAGACUCCUACGGGAGGCAGCAGUGGGGUAUAUUGGACAAUGGGCGAAAGCGUGAUCAAGCAAUGCCGGGUGAGUGAUGAAGGCCUUAGGGUUGUAAAGCUCCUUUACCCGGGAUGAUAAUGACAGUACCGGGAGAAUAAGCUCCGGCUAACUACGUG
Molecule: ribosomal RNA, 433 nt
Filed under: uncultured bacterium
Lineage: Bacteria
Description: partial 16S ribosomal RNA
Rfam family: Bacterial small subunit ribosomal RNA
Source: RNAcentral